Molecule: long non-coding RNA, 207 nt
Filed under: Hordeum vulgare
Lineage: Eukaryota; Viridiplantae; Streptophyta; Magnoliopsida; Poales; Poaceae
Description: long non-coding RNA (HVUL_LNC008629)
Source: RNAcentral
AUCAACUGAGCACAAGAAUGAAACCAACUACUGACUUUGGAAUGGAACCAUGACAUUCCAUGACUUUUGGUCCUCAGACCAAACACAUCCUAAGCCCACCACAUUUUGUACUACAUGGACGUAAAAAAAUGCAAGUUGUGCAACGUUUUUACGUUUCCGUAUUUGUAAGCAGGUGAAGCGAGGGUCAUAACUCAUGGGGUACUGAGC